Small nuclear RNA from Oryctolagus cuniculus (rabbit), 107 nucleotides. NCBI's taxonomy places the organism in Eukaryota, Metazoa, Chordata, Mammalia, Lagomorpha, Leporidae. The record is from Ensembl.
GUGUUCACUUCAGCAGCACAUGUACUAAAAUUGGAAAGAUAUGGAGAAGAUUAGCAUAGCCCCUGUGCAAGGAUGACACACAAAAUUGUGAAGCAUUCCAUAUUUGU